GUUGAGGACCUGCUUGAAGUGACCGAGAGUGACCCGGUCCGGCGGCACCGCCACCUUCACCAAGUACGGCGUCUCUUCCUCGUCCAUGUGGAUUGGAAACUGCUGGAUGUCCUUGCAAGUCAGAAGCUGAGAAGAACAAGAAUAAGGAAUCAGUCUGUCCUGGCAAGUUGACCAAAGUGCAACUUCCAGAGCGCAGACAGGAAGGACACUGUUACUGAGGUCUCGGCAAUUGUUGGCUUUCCUCAAUGCCAAUUUGCCACAGUUUUAUUGGACAACACAAUCACAAGCAUUGAACUAUAAAAAAUCUGCAACGGAGGG
Amblyraja radiata (thorny skate) is the source of this 318-nucleotide long non-coding RNA. RefSeq lists it as uncharacterized. The record is from RefSeq and is a predicted model, not a curated record. NCBI's taxonomy places the organism in Eukaryota, Metazoa, Chordata, Chondrichthyes, Rajiformes, Rajidae. The transcript has 2 exons.